AUGACGAGGGAACCUACGAUGACGACGAAAGAGGCGAUACCGAAGCUUUUAGUGAAGAAGCAGAAACAAUGUGCUCCGCAAGAGAAGUUGAAUACCCGGUCGUUCUCUAUAUCAACGCUGCUGGAAAUUUGGUACAACUUAUUCGGAGCGAGUCUUAUUACCAGCCUCUCGUUAAUGAGCGAUGUUCACGUGAGUUCCAUACCGUAAAACGUGAUGACAUGACAGCGACGUGUCUUACUACCUAUCGCCUGGCACAAGUCUACGCUCUGAAUCUAGCAACUCUCCAAUUUGGGCGGGAAAUUGUAAAAAUAACGCAGUGUACACCAGUCAUCAUAGCAACAUCAUAAAAGGAGACAUUCAUUAAUUAAUUUGGUAUAUGUGUACAGCUUAAUUUAAACUAAGCUUCACACAAACAGAUGAGAGAGAGAGAGAGAGAGAGAGAGAGAAAGAGAGAACAGCCGUGUUCAACUUUACUUCGAUAGAUUUAUAAAUUUGAUGCAAAAAAAUAGCUGAUAAAAUCCGUCGCAUUUACAUGUACAGUCGAGUAUCUUUCGGGAAUUAUGCUCUCCAUUUUGUACAUGGUCUCCAAAGAUUGUUUCAUGAUACCGGCUUACAAUCAUUCUGAUUUUAUUUCCGUAGAAUGAAAAGAUUAACUGUACCAGCGACUCUAAAAAUAGUGAACAGAACUUUCUAAAAAAAAAUCAAACUUAUCAACAGCUGAUAAUUACUUACUAUAUGAAUAGCACAUCACACAUUAAUCUUUAACAUAACAUCGAAUCAUUAUUUUCCAUUAAUAUGAAGCGAACAUCAUGACAACGUAUACACAUCUAUUUUACCGUCCAAUUACUAUCUUAAAAUCUGGAAUUGUUCCAUUGUUAGAAAAAUAGUUCAAAAAUGUGUACAUUAUGCCUUAAAUCAAAAUGGUUACCUCAAAAUCAACUGUUUUUCAAAUUUCCAUUUUCGACCAAUAAGACAUGUAGUUGUUUAGCAUAUACAUGUGUAAUGUGUUUGUCAAUUAUGACAUAACUAUUAUGAUUAUAACCUAAAAAUUAUUUCGAAUGUUUUAUCAUGAUAACGCGGACUACAAUAAUUACUAUUCAAAUGUAAAAUAUUGCGUCAAUGCAUGGUUAUUCAUAAUAUAGUCCAAUUAACUUUAUGGGGGUUCUGAUCUGAGACGGCGAUUUGCUCGGUAGCACACAAUAUUAUUACACGAUCAUCAUUAUGAUCUGAUCAUGAAAGGGUUUCGAUAAUUCUUUUAUUUUCUUAAAUAAAUUUAUAGUCCUAUACUGCAGGUUUUGGGAGGCGCAAUGGCUCGGUAGUAGAGCAGAUAACAAGUAACCAUGCAGAAUAUAUUCCUGUUUUGUCAGUCUUGUGGAUCAUCAUUUCGGGAGGGUCUAGUGCAGGUGCAUAAUUCUGAAUGUUCGCAAUUCCGAAACACUAUUCUCAUAGAGGCUGCAGGGAAUAUAUAAUUCCUGAAGUAGGGUUCAUAAUUCCGAACAUUAAGUUUUGUUGUUGCGUUAUUAAAAUUAUUAGGGUCGUCAGUAUCCGAAAGAUCAUAAUUCCGUAACUGAAAUUGGGUCCAUUAUUCGGAAGGUUCGUAUUUGCGGAAAACGGUUAUAGGGGUCCGUAUGCCGUUUUCGUAAUCAUGAAUCGUUGGAAUAAUGAACCCUAUUUCACUUUUGUAAACACGAACCUUAGGAAUGACGAACCUUCAGAGUCACGAAACUUCGGAAGUAUACGGAAUAACGAACCUCAGCAAAAUUGUUACUUGGGUUUCAUGGGCUAUCGGUAAUGUAGGAUGACCCUGAGCUUUCAAACUGUUAUCAUUCAUUAUUACUCAAACGUAUAA
This 1849-nucleotide long non-coding RNA is filed under the name Strongylocentrotus purpuratus (purple sea urchin). Its description in RNAcentral is "uncharacterized LOC115926059". The record is from RNAcentral. Lineage: Eukaryota; Metazoa; Echinodermata; Echinoidea; Camarodonta; Strongylocentrotidae.